RNAcentral lists this ribosomal RNA (254 nucleotides) under uncultured bacterium. Its description in RNAcentral is "partial 16S ribosomal RNA". It matches the Rfam family "Bacterial small subunit ribosomal RNA", at positions 524 to 776 of the family's 1533-position model. The record is from RNAcentral.
UACGUAGGGACCAAGCGUUGUUCGGAUUUACUGGGCGUAAAGGGCGCGUAGGCGGCAUGACAAGUCACUUGUGAAAUCUCCGGGCUUAACUCGGAACGGCCAAGUGAUACUGUCACGCUAGAGUGCAGAAAGGGCAAUCGGAAUUCUUGGUGUAGCGGUGAAAUGCGUAGAUAUCAAGAGGAACACCAGUGGCGAAGGCGACUACCUGGCCUGUUUCUUGACGCUGAGGCGCGAAAGCUAGGGGAGCAAACGGG